RNAcentral lists this ribosomal RNA (374 nucleotides) under uncultured organism. RNAcentral's name for it is "partial 16S ribosomal RNA". It matches the Rfam family "Bacterial small subunit ribosomal RNA", at positions 527 to 896 of the family's 1533-position model. The record is from RNAcentral.
GUAGGUGGCAAGCGUUGUCCGGAAUUAUUGGGGCGUAAAGCGCGCGCAGGCGGGUUCUUUAAGUCUGAUGUGAAAGCCCACGGGCUCAACCGUGGAGGGUCAUUGGAAACUGGAGAACUUGAGUACAGAAGAGGAAAGCGGAAUUCCACGUGUAGCGGUGAAAUGCGUAGAGAUGUGGGGGAACACCAGUGGCGAAGGCGGCUUUCUGGUCUGUAACUGACGCUGAGGCGCGAAAGCGUGGGGAGCAAACAGGAUUAGAUACCCUGGUAGUCCACGCCGUAAACGAUGAGUGCUAAGUGUUAGGGGGUUUCCGCCCCUUAGUGCUGCAGCUAACGCAUUAAGCACUCCGCCUGGGGAGUACGGCCGCAAGGCUG